CAGCCGCCGCGGUAAUACCAGCACCUCAAGUGGUCAGGAUGAUUAUUGGGCCUAAAGCAUCCGUAGCCGGCUCUGUAAGUUUUCGGUUAAAUCUGUAUGCUCAACAUACAGGCUGCCGGGAAUACUGCAGAGCUAGGGAGUGGGAGAGGUAGACGGUACUCGGUAGGAAGGGGUAAAGUCCUUUGAUCUAUUGAUGACCACCUGUGGCGAAGGCGGUCUACCAGAACACGUCCGACGGUGAGGGAUGAAAGCUGGGGGAGCAAACCGGAUUAGAUACCCGGGUAGUCCCAGCUGUAAACUAUGCAAACUCAGUGAUGCAUUGGCUUGUGGCCAAUGCAGUGCUGCAGGGAACCCGUUAAGUUUGCCGCCUGGGAAGUACGUACCCAAGUAUGAAACUUAAAGGAAUUGGCGGGGGAGCACCACAAGGGGUGAAACCUGCGGUUCAAUUGGAGUCAACGCCAGAAAUCUUACCCGGAGAGACAGCAGAAUGAAGGUCAGGCUGAAGACUUUACCAGACAAGCUGAGAGGUGGUGCAUGGCCGUCGCCAGCUCGUGCCGUGAGAUGUCCUGUUAAGUCAGGUAACGAGCGAGAUCCCUGCCUCUAGUUGCCACCAUUAUUCUCAGGAAUAGUGGGGCGAAUUAGCGGGACCGCCGCAGUUAAUGCGGAGGAAGGAAGGGGCCACGGCAGGUCAGUAUGCCCCGAAACUCUGGGGCCACACGCGGGCUGCAAUGGUAACGACAAUGGGUUUCGAAUCCGAAAGGAUGAGGUAAUCCUCAAACGUUACCACAGUUAUGACUGAGGGCUGCAACUCGCCCUCACGAAUAUGGAAUCCCUAGUAACUGCGUGUCAUUAUCGCGCGGUGAAUACGUCCCUGCUCCUUGCACACACCGCCCGUCGUUUCAUUGAAGUGAGCUUUUAGCGAGGUGACGUCUAAUUGGCGUUAUCGAACUUGAGGUUCGUGAACAAGGGAAAAGUCGUAACAAGGUAACCGUA
This 993-nucleotide ribosomal RNA is filed under the name uncultured crenarchaeote. RNAcentral's name for it is "bacterial SSU rRNA". It matches the Rfam family "Archaeal small subunit ribosomal RNA", at positions 459 to 1451 of the family's 1478-position model. The record is from RNAcentral. Lineage: Archaea; Thermoproteati; Thermoproteota.